GUUUGGUUACGCGUCCAAAUAGUUUCGAUGUCGAAUUCACCGAAUGUUAAUAAGCUACAUAGUUUAGCUUCACACUAAACGCAUGGUUGCAUUCACGCCACAUCUGUACCAAACACUGGCUAAGUCAUAACAUUGAUUCCUAAUGAACAAGAACAAAUUAAACAAUAAACUAGUAAAAUAACUAAUAGAUCGAACAGGCACAUACAUAAUCAAGAGAAAUAUUAGAAUGUUAUGGAUACUUUAGAGAGUUUAGUUAAAAUUAAUAAAAAGUUUUACCAUUCUUUUAUAGUUUCCACUCUAAAGUAUCCAUAACAUUUUAAUAUUGAAAAUAGGAAUCCGGAAUCCACCAAAAAUUGAGAAAAACUUUCUAAAAUAUUAUUCAAUAAAUAAAAAGUUUCCUCCUACAACUGUUAAGUUUAAAUAGGAAAAUAACAAAACCCAACUGGGCCAAAAAUAAUAAACUAAAACAAAAAAAGGAAAUUACUAAAAUGCUAAAAUAAAAAUAUUUUAGAAAAUAUUAUGGAAACCCUCCUACAUCAAUCAUCUAUACGUAUUGCUUAUGUUGGUGAGAAUAAUAAAAUUCAUUGUUGAAUAUGUUCUUUGUUUGGUAAAAUGAUGAAAGUAUUUUAUGAACGUAUCCAAUCUGACGCAUUCUAUUUUUUCUUUAUUGUGGUAUUGUUGUGUGUUUGUUACUGUUGAAGAUUAAUUCAUAUUUCAAUCUUAGUUAGUAGGUUUAGUUAGUGAAGGUGUUAACCUAACUUUAGAGAGUUUUUUUUCAAUUUUUGGUGGAUUCCGGAUUCCUAUUUUCACAAGUUUUUCGCUUGCCAACUUAUUUAUUUCAAUCAAGGUUUAGCGCUUGCUAGCCUACGCUUCUAAUUGCGUCAGUUGGUAUCAGAGCAGGUUUCUCCCGUUCUUUUCCUAACUUAAUCAGCCAUGGGACACUACUAGAAAAAGCAAAAUUAGCGAGGGAAAUUAGUGACCGAAAAAAUGAAAUUCCUCAUAAAUUUCUUGGUCGCAAAAUUUAGUGACGGAAUUAGAGAGGGAUUUUACGUUUUCCCUCACUAAAUUUAAUUUUUUUAGUAGUAGGAGAUCAGUGAGUGAAGAAAAUCACGGCUUUAACUGUGGCCGUCAAAGCUUUGUCAGAUCAGAUGGCGUUCCACGUGGUAGAAACAAUCGAAUUGUUGAGGAUUCAAGUUCUUUAAAGAUAGAGAAAACUGAUUUCGAAGAGAAAAUAUCAAAUCACUUGAAGAAGCUGCAGAUUUUACAAGAACAUGUCAAUUCAGUUAAAUCUAUUGAAAAGGAUCACAAAUCAAGAAAGUGGAGGAGGUAAAACUACACGUAUGGAUGCAAAAGGGAAAAUAACAAGUUUAAUUAGUUGCUAAAAAUUAAAGGACUAUAACUUGGCAACCAAAAUAGAGGAAGCAAUAAAAAAUAACGAGAAUUUGGAGGCUAUCACACAAGAAAGUAUCUGAAUAGAGGCAACUAGGUUGGAAUAUUCAAUGCCUCACACUUAUUGGGUUACUUAUGUUUCUCAUGUGGAUGUGUGGGAUAUUCGCGGUGGAAGAGCAUCUAUUACAUUCCUUCAAUGGCAUAUAAUGUCACCUGCUAUGUUUUCCAAAGCGUACCAUCUUUUCAUUUCAUUCAAUGGGACCUUGGAGGGUGGUCUCCUGUUCAUUGGAGGAGUCAACAUGCAUGAGAAGUUCUUUAUUAGAGGUCGAGUUCUUUAGAGGUGGUGGGGCUGACGUAUGAGGGUUUCCAUAGUAUUUUUAUUUUAGCUUUAGUUUUAGUAAUUUUCUGUUUGUUAUUUUUGGCCCAUUAGGGUUUUGUUAUUUUCCUAUUUAAGCUUAACAGUUGUAGCCUAGGAAGAAACUUUUAUUAAUUCAAUAAUAUUUUAUAUAGAGUUUUCUAACAGUUGUAGCCUACGAAGAAACUUUUAUUCAUUCAAUAAUAUUUUAUAGAGUUU
Molecule: long non-coding RNA, 1963 nt
Filed under: Medicago truncatula (barrel medic)
Lineage: Eukaryota; Viridiplantae; Streptophyta; Magnoliopsida; Fabales; Fabaceae
Description: lncRNA gene37855
Source: RNAcentral